GUCUACGGCCAUGCCACCCUGAAUGUGCCCAAUCUCGUCUGAUCUCGGAAGCUAAGCAGGGUCGGGCCUGGUUAGUACUUGGAUGGGAGACCACCUAGGAAGACUAGGUGCUGUGGGUG
This 119-nucleotide ribosomal RNA is filed under the name Pteropus alecto (black flying fox). Lineage: Eukaryota; Metazoa; Chordata; Mammalia; Chiroptera; Pteropodidae. The record is from RNAcentral.